Molecule: long non-coding RNA, 1128 nt
Filed under: Taeniopygia guttata (zebra finch)
Lineage: Eukaryota; Metazoa; Chordata; Aves; Passeriformes; Estrildidae
Description: lncRNA (ENSTGUG00000018807.1)
Source: RNAcentral
GGCGGGACCGGCCCCGCCCCGAACCAACCGCGGCACCGCCCCGGGACAGCCCCGGUACAGCCCCGAACCAACCGCGGUACUGCCCCGGGACAGCCCCGGGACAGGCCCGGUACAGCCCCGAACCAACCGCGGUACCGCCCCGGGACAGGCCCGGGACAGCCCCGGCACCGCCCCGGCACCGCCCCGGCACCGCCCCGAACCAACCGCGGCACCGCCCCGGGACAGCCCCGGCACCGCCCCGGCACCGCCCCGAACCAACCGCGGUACCGCCCCGGUACCGCCCCGGCACCGCCCCGGGACAGCCCCGGCACCGCCUCGGCACCGCCCCGGCACCGCCCCGGCACCGCCCCGGGACAGCCCCGGCACCGCCCCGGCACCGCCCCGACACCGCCCCGGUACCGCCCCGGGACAGCCCCGGCACCGCCCCGGCACCGCCCCGGCACCGCCCCGGCACCGCCCCGGGACAGCCCCGGCACCGCCUCGGCACCGCCCCGGCACCGCCCCGGUACCGCCCCGGGACAGGCCCGGCACCGCCCCGGCACCGCCCCGGCACCGCCCCGGCACCGCCCCGGCACCGCCCCGGCACCGCCCCGGCACCGCCCCGGCCCCGCCGUGUCCCGGGUUAGCCUCGCCGCGGUGAGCCUUGUCCCGCACCGGGCUGAGUCGGGCCCGGGGUCGGUUCCCCGAAGCCGGGGCUGCCCUGAGCGGGCAGGAGCCUCCCUGGCUGUGGGAACGGCCUGUCCUGGGCAGCGGCAGCAGCCCCGGCCUGGAGAAUCUGUCCCUCAGGAAGGGACAGACGGGACUGCCUGGCUGGGGGCGCCUCUGCAUCGUGUUAGGUUGGACAUUAGGAGGAAUUUCUCCGUGGAAAGGGUGGUCAGGCCUUGGCAGGGGCUGCCCAGGGAGGUUUGGAGUCCCCAGCCCUGGAGAUGGCACUCGGUGCUCUGGGCUGGUGACGAGGUGGGAAUAUCUGGGAUGAGUGCCUGGGAACAGGAGGGACUAUUCACAGUGAUCUGGAGAUGUUUGCCUUACACAUCACAUCGUCCCUGCCGCAGGCUACUUCACCACCCCGUUUAUUUUUCACAGGUUCCGAGGAAGGUAGUGAGGUUUCAGGUAAAUACAAGGGUGUAA